This 340-nucleotide long non-coding RNA is filed under the name Lathyrus oleraceus (garden pea). RNAcentral's name for it is "Pisum sativum (pea) long non-coding RNA (PSAT_LNC028916)". The record is from RNAcentral. Lineage: Eukaryota; Viridiplantae; Streptophyta; Magnoliopsida; Fabales; Fabaceae.
UAUGUUCCCAAUUCACGCCUGGUUGGUCACCUAUUAUAUGCCCAGUAACUGGUAUCCCUGGUGUUCCUUCCUUCUGCUCCCUAUUAUGACAUUUUUCAGCCCUCCCUUCGGAUGAUGAGUGUCUUGGAUAUGUUCCCAAUUCACGCCUGGUUGGUCACCUAUUAUAUGCCCAGUAACUGGUAUCCCUGGUGUUCCUUCCUUCUGCUCCCUAUUAUGACAUUUUGUCCCUUGUGGAGUCAGAUUUUCUUGAGUUGAGAUGUGCCUUUUGGGUCCUCCUUAGAUGUUUCGGAUGAUUGAUAUCUUUCACCCUUAUACCGGUCUUAGAUAUUCUUUCUCUUUG